RNAcentral lists this long non-coding RNA (310 nucleotides) under Physcomitrium patens. RNAcentral describes it as "long non-coding RNA (PPAT_LNC011521)". The record is from RNAcentral. Lineage: Eukaryota; Viridiplantae; Streptophyta; Bryopsida; Funariales; Funariaceae.
AAGUAAUGUACCACUGUAAAGAAUUAUCCUAUUGCCAUUAGAAUUAAAAUCUUAAGUGUGUGUGUGUGUGUGUGUAUAUGUUUUAUUUUUUAUUUUUUAUUUUUUAUUUUGUUAUCUUUUUAUAUUUUAAUAUUAGAUAUAUAUAUGGAAAAAAAAUCAAUGUUUUCAUGUACAUCUGUAUAAUAUGGUAAAAAAUAAUAUCCUACAAGUUAAUUGUGCUUCAUUUAUUCACUAAAUCCAUGCAAUCGUUGUUGUUGUAGGUAAUACUUGGGCUGUGAAGUUGAUGAAUAGCAAUAUAACCAACCCCUCA